CCUACGGGUGGCAGCAGUGGGGAAUAUUGGGCAAUGGGCGCAAGCCUGACCCAGCAACGCCGCGUGAAGGAAGAAGGCUUUCGGGUUGUAAACUUCUUUUCUCAGGGACGAAGCAAGUGACGGUACCUGAGGAAUAAGCCACGGCUAACUACGUGCCAGCAGCCGCGGUAAGACGUAGGUGGCAAGCGUUAUCCGGAUUUACUGGUUGUAAGGGGCGUGUAGGCGGGGACGCAAGUCAGAUGUGAAAACCACGGGCUCAAACUGUGGCCUGCAUUUGAAACUGGGUUUCUUGAGUACUGGAGAGGCAGACGGAAUGCCUAGUGUAGCGGUGAAAUGCGUAGAUAUUAGGAGGAACACCAGUGGCGAAGGCGGUCUGCUGGACAGCAACUGACGCUGAGGCGCGAAAGCGUGGGGAGCAAACAGGAUUAGAUACCCGAGUAGUC
This 443-nucleotide ribosomal RNA is filed under the name uncultured bacterium. Its description in RNAcentral is "partial 16S ribosomal RNA". It matches the Rfam family "Bacterial small subunit ribosomal RNA", at positions 338 to 795 of the family's 1533-position model. The record is from RNAcentral.